Molecule: long non-coding RNA, 1404 nt
Filed under: Gallus gallus (chicken)
Lineage: Eukaryota; Metazoa; Chordata; Aves; Galliformes; Phasianidae
Description: long non-coding RNA NONGGAT005848
Source: RNAcentral
GGGGGGGGGGGGACGGGACCCGGAGGAACCCCGGUUCUCUCAGACUGAGGUGAAGGAGGCUUGCAGACAGAGUUACCCGUGCUGCAGGAGCCGACCAUCUGAGUCCACAGACGAUCAUGACAGAAAGGGUUGAGAGCAAAAAGCGCUUCCUAAAGUCUUCUGUGGUAAUCCUGAGAUCUGGCCGUGCCUUACAUCACGCUGUGAGGUCGGCUGCCUUCUUCUGUGAUGAUGAUUUUCCUUCGGAUUUUUGUCUCCAAAUUGCAGUGGGAUCACUUGAGGCUUAUUUGAAGCAAGCAGCAGCUCGGCUUGCUUGGCCUGCAUUGGGUCCCUCUGGGUGCACCCACAGUCAGGAGUGCGGGAUCCCCUCUGCAGAUACCACCCAACCUGACUGCAGACCACUGCCACGUUGUUGGCCGUGUAACACCCUGCUCCCUGUGCUUCUGUUUGCUGUCCUUGCAUGCCCAGUGGCAGUUUUCUCUCUCUCCUCUGGCUUUUUGUGACAAGUCUUUUCCUCCGUGCCUAGAAAAAACAUAAACGCCCACAAAGACAAACAUAGUGCAGAAUUUACAGCCAGAGCAGGUUCCUCAUCUGCAACCACCCUCUCGGACUCCGUCGUUAGCAAACUGCUGAGGUUGGCCUCCCAGGGCCUUGGGCCGGGCUGCUCCAAAGUGCCAGUCACACCAAACCUGUGAUAGCACUUGGGACUAAGGGAGGAUGGCUGGCCCUGCUUGGAGACGUGACCUGGGGGUAAACUGAGGAAGCCAUGGAGAAAGAGCUGAGAAAUCAAGCAUAGAAAAACCUAAACUAAUUUUGGUAGACUGUUGUAAGGGCGUUGAAUUGCCAUGAACUACUCAGCCUGGUAGCACAGCAGCCAGCGCUUCCAUGGGCAAUUGACAAAGUUCAUAUCAUUCUAUAACACAAACUAUGAAGUUCUAGUACAGACUCUAUUGAUGCUAAAUGCUGUACCAGGAUAUGACAGAAAUUGUUCUGCCUCUAAGAGCUGACGUGGUGCUCCUGGAGCUGCCAUGGAAAGAAGGUGAGGAGAACAAGAGCAACAAUGACACGAUUUCUGGGACUGCCUACCAGCACAGCACACCUUCCCACUGAGGGCUUCCUAACACUAAGUGACACAUGGCAGGAGUCCACAACUGCAGAAGACAGCAGCUGGUUGAGCCCCAGAGGAACCACUUUUAACAAGAAAUAGACAACAAACUACACUUUGACUUUACAAGAGAAGCCCUAUGGAAGUGGAUUUGUGGACAAGAGCAGGAGAGGAAACUACAUUUGCAGUAAAUAAAAGCAUCAUUCGCAGAUGUCCUAGCGGUGACCUUGGAAUUUGGAAAUACACAUCUCCUGGACAGCUUUGGAAAGAAAAGCAACAGAAGUACUGAGGGAAGAGCUCCA